RNAcentral lists this ribosomal RNA (552 nucleotides) under uncultured bacterium. RNAcentral's name for it is "partial 16S ribosomal RNA". It matches the Rfam family "Bacterial small subunit ribosomal RNA", at positions 355 to 900 of the family's 1533-position model. The record is from RNAcentral.
UAGGGAAUCUUCGGCAAUGGACGAAAGUCUGACCGAGCAACGCCGCGUGAGUGAAGAAGGUUUUCGGAUCGUAAAACUCUGUUGGUAGAGAAGAACGUUGGUGAGAGUGGAAAGCUCAUCAAGUGACGGUAACUACCCAGAAAGGGACGGCUAACUACGUGCCAGCAGCCGCGGUAAUACGUAGGUCCCGAGCGUUGUCCGGAUUUAUUGGGCGUAAAGCGAGCGCAGGUGGUUUAUUAAGUCUGGUGUAAAAGGCAGUGGCUCAACCAUUGUAUGCAUUGGAAACUGGUAGACUUGAGUGCAGGAGAGGAGAGUGGAAUUCCAUGUGUAGCGGUGAAAUGCGUAGAUAUAUGGAGGAACACCGGUGGCGAAAGCGGCUCUCUGGCCUGUAACUGACACUGAGGCUCGAAAGCGUGGGGAGCAAACAGGAUUAGAUACCCUGGUAGUCCACGCCGUAACGAUGAGUGCUAGAUGUAGGGAGCUAUAAGUUCUCUGUAUCGCAGCUAACGCAAUAAGCACUCCGCCUGGGGAGUACGACCGCAAGGUUGAAAC